RNAcentral lists this ribosomal RNA (499 nucleotides) under uncultured bacterium. RNAcentral's name for it is "partial 16S ribosomal RNA". It matches the Rfam family "Bacterial small subunit ribosomal RNA", at positions 28 to 507 of the family's 1533-position model. The record is from RNAcentral.
GACGAACGCUGGCGGCGUGCCUAAUACAUGCAAGUCGAGCGAAGUUUUUCUGGUGCUUGCACUAGAAAAACUUAGCGGCGAACGGGUGAGUAACACGUAAAGAACCUGCCUCAUAGACUGGGACAACUAUUGGAAACGAUAGCUAAUACCGGAUAACAGUAUUUCUCGCAUGAGAGAUAUUUAAAAGUUGGUUAUGCUAACACUAUGAGAUGGCUUUGCGGUGCAUUAGCUAGUUGGUGGGGUAAAGGCCCACCAAGGCGACGACGCAUAGCCGACCCGAGAGGGUGAUCGGCCACACUGGGACUGAGACACGGCCCAGACUCCUACGGGAGGCAGCAGUAGGGAAUCUUCCGCAAUGGGCGAAAGCCUGACGGAGCAACGCCGCGUGAGUGAAGAAGGAUUUCGGUUCGUAAAGCUCUGUUGUUAGGGAAGAAUGGAUAUGUAGUAACUAUACAUGUAAGGGACGGUACCUAACCAGAAAGCCACGGCUAACUACGUG